RNAcentral lists this long non-coding RNA (406 nucleotides) under Manihot esculenta (cassava). RNAcentral describes it as "long non-coding RNA (MESC_LNC008619)". The record is from RNAcentral. Lineage: Eukaryota; Viridiplantae; Streptophyta; Magnoliopsida; Malpighiales; Euphorbiaceae.
AGUAAUUUAUUUUUUUUACAAAUAUAUUUAAAGUACAUGUCGUGAGGAGCACUGUUCUUUGUCGAGAGAAAUGGAGUGGUCUUUCUCUUCAUCUCAAGGAAUGCUCUUCAUCAACGAGAGCAGUGGAGUCGCCUCUCAUUGUCAAAAGCAAUGGAGUUGCCUCUCACUGUCUUUCCAUUAAUUGUGAGUAGUCAUUGUUGAUGAGAGUAGUGGAGCAUCCAAAGGAGGAAAGGUCUUCAUCGACGAGAGUGACACAAGAAAAGUUGGUCUUUGUCGUGAGAGUAUGAGACGACGACGAAGAAGAUGCUAUCAACGAUUUUUAAGAUGCGAGAUGGAGAUGAGAAAGAAGAAAGAGGGUGGGAUGGAUGGCAAUGUAAGGUGAAGCGAGAAAAGUGAAUUUAGGGUC